CAGCCGCCGCGGGAAUACGUAGGGUGCGAGCGUUAAUCGGAAUUACUGGGCGUAAAGCGUGCGCAGGCGGUUGUGUAAGACAGGUGUGAAGUCCCCGGGCUUAACCUGGGAACUGCGCUUGUGACUGCACAGCUAGAGUAUGGCAGAGGGGGGUGGAAUUCCACGUGUAGCAGUGAAAUGCGUAGAGAUGUGGAGGAACACCGAUGGCGAAGGCAGCCCCCUGGGCCAAUACUGACGCUCAUGCACGAAAGCGUGGGGAGCGAACAGGAUUAGAUACCCCCGUAGUCCCUGUCUCUUAUAC
This 301-nucleotide ribosomal RNA is filed under the name uncultured bacterium. Its description in RNAcentral is "partial 16S ribosomal RNA". It matches the Rfam family "Bacterial small subunit ribosomal RNA", at positions 509 to 807 of the family's 1533-position model. The record is from RNAcentral.